Molecule: ribosomal RNA, 331 nt
Filed under: Pseudotabrizicola sp.
Lineage: Bacteria; Pseudomonadati; Pseudomonadota; Alphaproteobacteria; Rhodobacterales; Paracoccaceae
Description: partial 23S ribosomal RNA
Rfam family: Bacterial large subunit ribosomal RNA
Source: RNAcentral
AAUCAAGCGCGAAAAGGGCGUUUGGUGGAUGCCUUGGCAGUAAGAGGCGAUGAAGGACGUGAUACCCUGCGUUAAGCCAUGGGGAGCCGGGAAUAGGCUUUGAUCCAUGGAUGUCCGAAUGGGGGAACCCACCUGACAUUCUGUUAUAAUUACCUUGGUAAUUUAUAAUGGGGUGAACCAGGUACUUUAAUCCUGAAUACAUAGGGGUUUUAGAGCAAACCCGGGGAACUGAAACAUCUAAGUACCCGGAGGAAAGGAAAUCAAUAGAGACUCCGCUAGUAGUGGCGAGCGAACGCGGACCAGCCGAGCCUGGAAGAGUGACUGGAAUGGU